ACCGUGCUGUUUCCUGUUGACUGCGCUCCUCACUGCCCUGGUGCUUCUGAUUCUUCUAGGUGUUAACGGUUUGAGGAUGCUGGGGAUUCUCCAUGAUGCAGUUGUGUUCCUCAUUGAGCAGCUGUCUGGUGCCAAGCACUGUCGAAAUUACAAAUUCCGUUUCCACAAGCCAGAGGAGGCCAAUGAACCCCCCUUGAACCCUCACGGCUCAGCCAGGGCUGAAGUCCACCUCAGGAAGUCAGCAUUUGACAUGUUUAACUUCCUGGCUUCUAAACAUCGUCAGCCUCCUGAAUACAACCCCAAUGAUGAAGAAGAGGAGGAGGUACAGCUGAAAUCAGCUCGGAGGGCAACUAGCAUGGAUCUGCCAAUGCCCAUGCGUUUCCGGCACUUAAAAAAGACUUCUAAGGAGGCAGUUGGUGUCUACAGGUCUCCCAUCCAUGGCCGGGGUCUUUUCUGUAAGAGAAACAUUGAUGCAGGUGAGAUGGUGAUUGAGUAUGCCGGCAACGUCAUCCGCUCCAUCCAGACUGACAAGCGGGAAAAGUAUUAUGACAGCAAGGGCAUUGGUUGCUAUAUGUUCCGAAUUGAUGACUCAGAGGUAGUGGAUGCCACCAUGCAUGGAAAUGCUGCGCGCUUCAUCAAUCACUCGUGUGAGCCUAACUGCUAUUCUCGGGUCAUCAAUAUUGAUGGGCAGAAGCACAUUGUCAUCUUUGCCAUGCGUAAGAUCUACCGAGGAGAGGAACUAACUUACGACUAUAAGUUCCCCAUUGAGGAUGCCAGCAACAAGCUGCCCUGCAACUGUGGCGCCAAGAAAUGCCGGAAGUUCCUAAACUAAAGCUGCUCUUCUCCCCCAGUG
Molecule: small RNA, 853 nt
Filed under: Pongo abelii (Sumatran orangutan)
Lineage: Eukaryota; Metazoa; Chordata; Mammalia; Primates; Hominidae
Description: retained intron
Source: RNAcentral